UAUUGUGAUGAUUUAUGUUCUACUCAAUCACGACGGUCUACUGACUACUAACAAAUAUUAUUGUUAAUAUAAUGGAGAAAGAGUGGAACUCUGAAU
RNAcentral lists this small nucleolar RNA (96 nucleotides) under Cryptosporidium parvum Iowa II. The record is from RNAcentral. Lineage: Eukaryota; Apicomplexa; Conoidasida; Eucoccidiorida; Cryptosporidiidae.